AUUUGCUAUUAAUCUUUAUUUAUAUGAUUGUUUUCUGGGAAGCACCUCAUUUUCAAAGCUAAGCCUAAGGCAAGUAGUGUAAGGCACACAGGAAGAAAUCUGCUGUAUGGAAAUGCUUUUGCUGUAUCACAAAGAGUUCUAUUCCUUGAGCUCUUCGAUUCAAGGUACUAAUAAUGUCUAUGCAUGCAGAGCAAAAAAAAAAAAAAAAGCAAAGGCCAAGAGUGCCAGGCACAUGAAGAUAUGCAUAUACUGUCUUCACAUUUAACCUCUAUCGAUAUGAUUAAGUAGCUAUCUGUGUACAUCUAACCACACCUGAUAGUGCACAUUCUUGGGGAACGCCCAAUGCACUAAGAGCUGUGUGCGCUUCAAGGCAAAGUAUUUCACUGAGUUUCUAGGGAAACAUUUGAAAUGUUGUUUCCUGAUUUGAAAUGUUGCUUCAUGGCUUGAAAUGUUGCUUCAUGGCUUGAAAUGUUGCUUCAUGAUUCUAAAAGAAAGGGAAAAUAUUAGGGAGAAGACUGUUAGAGACAGGGAAUGUUCCCCACAAUCUUCAUUAUGCAUCAUUAGUAAGAGACAGCAUUGCCUUUUACUUGAUAAACGACUGCCUACCAUUUGUUCUGCAGAACAAGGAAAGGAAAACAAGUUUUUCUCAUGGAAAACCAAGCCCGGUUUCUAACCUUUCUCUAUGCUAACAGAUACUAAAGACGGGAAGGAAGUCAAGCCCUGCAAUUACAGCUUCUCCCAUGAGAGUCCAUGGGAGACAGAGAAGCAAAAUUUACAGGCAUUCUGACCUCACAACAGACCUCGAAGGACUGGAUUCCAAACUAGAGCCCAUCAGAGAAACAGACAAAAUGUGCUGUUCAGUACUUCGCUUUCUUUCAACUGGCCUAUAAAGACAUCUAGCUACACGCGGACGCUCCCCCUGCUCUGCUAUUCCACAGAAUGGAAUCGUUAUGAAAGGACAAUCAGUGGGCUUUACAGCAGCGGUCUGCAUCCACUACGUGAAAGAAAUCAGCAGGAGAAACAGCAGGUCCUGGGCUGGACUCGCUUUGUAAUUUAAAUGAAGAUAAAAUGUUUAUGGCCCUCCAGCUCCCAGAUGCCCUAGCAUAUAUUAAGCACGCUUCACGCCAGCUCGCUGUUUGAUCCUUGCAGCGUUGGAGCAAAACUGCCCUGGAUGAACUGCAAACCCGGUGGCCAGCCACCUCUCCAGGAUUCUGCUCAAAAUGAUGUUUGCAAGGAAGACUUUCCUAACCCUUAGCUGGAGUUGAGGGACCUCUUCUCUGCUCCCACAAUCAUCAUUCUCUCUGUCUCCCUGACUGGCUUGCAUGCUCCAUGGGGACAUGUCUUGCUCAUCUUAUUGGAUCUUCUGCCUCCAAGUUCUGUCUGGAACCAAGGUAUAAGCUAAAUAAACCUGAGUUCAGUGAAUGGCUAUCAACUCUUCAGCUGCCCAAGAAUGUUCAUUUUCUUCUUGUCUAUAUAGGAACAGAUUAAAAUUUACCGCAUGCACCAUAGAAUUAUCAAUCAUGAAGAGUUUUACAUUUUCCUAAGUCCAGUUAUUUUUCCCAACUGUGUCCACC
This 1574-nucleotide long non-coding RNA is filed under the name Heterocephalus glaber (naked mole-rat). RNAcentral's name for it is "lncRNA (ENSHGLG00100038026.1)". The record is from RNAcentral. Lineage: Eukaryota; Metazoa; Chordata; Mammalia; Rodentia; Bathyergidae.